CGGGGCAGGGCAGACGCCCCGUCAGACGGUCUUCCGUCCAAGUUCUGC
This 48-nucleotide non-coding RNA is filed under the name unclassified sequences. RNAcentral describes it as "chromate-resist RNA". It matches the Rfam family "chrB-b RNA". The record is from RNAcentral.